Long non-coding RNA from Hypomesus transpacificus, 667 nucleotides. RefSeq lists it as uncharacterized. Lineage: Eukaryota; Metazoa; Chordata; Actinopteri; Osmeriformes; Osmeridae. The record is from RefSeq and is a predicted model, not a curated record. The transcript is spliced from 2 exons.
GUAGGGGAGUGGGGGGAGUUUAAAAAAACGUUGCGUACACUACGCAAGAGUAGGUAUUCUGUUGGGUUUAGUCUGCUCGUACCGUAGCAGACGGGUUGGAAGAUGUCUAUGUAAGUGUUUGUAAUGAAAAAGUCUCACAAUCUCAUAAGAAACCUACGUGGACCACCAAACAAAAGAGGUGGCCCAGAGUCCUUGGAUCAUGACUACCUGGCCUGACAACACCAGGCUGACCUUGUCCAAAGCCGCUGUCCACAGCCCACAUGGUGGACCUUGUCUACCUGGUUGAACAGCUCAUCUGGAUUCAGUCGGAAGAAAGGAUACAGUUCACCUAUGUUUAUUGAGCUGCUGGUCUUCUGAACGUGCAAAAAUAUAAAUGUGACUGUAAUGGUAAUCCAAUCUGAUCUCACCAGCAGAAGCAGAAGACAACACCUCAUACUCCGACUACUAUUUGAUUGAUAUUUGAUAUGUCAGCAACCUUAGAUCAGAGGAAUGUGCCCAGAUUGUUUACAAGCUUUUACCUUUACAUCUCAUGUGCCAGGGAUAAGUAGUUAUUAGAGGGGGCAGGUAUCAAUGUAAUGUUUUAUGUGAAGCUAUUGAAUGAAUCCAAAGUCACAUUUAUAUUGUAAGAAUUAUAAUCGCUUUCUUUUAAUAAAGUUUGUUUGCAAUA